AUGAGGCCGCCGCCGCGCCAUCUUGCCUCCUCCCCGUCUCCAGCAAGGCCCUGCCCGACCCCCUCCUACGCCGUCGCCUCGCAAUGGAGCAGCUUCGCUCGGACCACUUCUGUGCCUCCACGCCGUCUUCCGCACCCCGACCUCCUCGUCACUGCUGCGCCCGUCCCCGGAAACCGGUGCCCUUGCCGGAGCCACCUUGCCUCGCCUCCUUCUGCAGGUCCCGAUGACACAAGCCCCAACGCGACCGCCCUUGGCUUGCCUGCCUUGCCUCGCGCGACCCGCAUGGCCGCCGGCCUUGGAGACCACCAUGCUGGCCUACAGCUUCGCGCACACCGCCGCUGCCCUCCUCUGCUCCGCCUCCGUUGCAUCAAGGAACCCCGGCCAUCUCCUGCUCCUCGCCGACCUUCGUUGGGUGCGCCGCCGCUUCCCUGCUUCAGGCCAAGAUCGACGCCGACCACUGCUUGUAGCCGCGGCUCGGCCACGCACCAACAACCAGCAGCUCAAGUUGCCUCCAUUCAUCUUCGUUAA
Molecule: ribosomal RNA, 528 nt
Filed under: Triticum aestivum (bread wheat)
Lineage: Eukaryota; Viridiplantae; Streptophyta; Magnoliopsida; Poales; Poaceae
Description: partial small subunit ribosomal RNA
Source: RNAcentral